UACAGUGGGUGCAAGCGUUAAUCGGAAUUACUGGGCGUAAAGCGCACGUAGGCGGUUUUUUAAGUCAGAUGUGAAAGCCCCGGGCUCAACCUGGGAAUUGCAUUUGAAACUGGGAAACUAGAGUGUGUGAGAGGGGGGUAGAAUUCCAAGUGUAGCGGUGAAAUGCGUAGAGAUUUGGAGGAAUACCAGUGGCGAAGGCGGCCCCCUGGCACAACACUGACGCUCAGGUGCGAAAGCGUGGGGAGCAAACAGG
This 253-nucleotide ribosomal RNA is filed under the name uncultured bacterium. Its description in RNAcentral is "partial 16S ribosomal RNA". It matches the Rfam family "Bacterial small subunit ribosomal RNA", at positions 524 to 776 of the family's 1533-position model. The record is from RNAcentral.